GUUUGAUUUUUUGAUUUUGUUUUUGGUUCUUGUAUUUUGUUUUCUGUUAUUAUUGGUAUUAUCAUUGAAAUGUUGCAAUUUUAGGUGGUGGUGGUUGGGUGGCUGCUAUGGCAGAUUUGAGGUGUGGUGGUUGUGAUAUUUGGAAUGGAGUGAUAAUUGAGAAAUAGGUUUGUUUCAUCUGCUCAGUCUAUAUUGAGACAAACCAAUUUUAAAGGUGCGAAGUUACUAGGUGCUAGCUUCUUUGAUGCAGAUUUAACAGGGGCUGAUCUUUCGGAUGCUGAUCUAAGAGGGGCAGACUUUUCAUUGGCAAAUGUGACAAAGCUAUGUUUGGGCAGCUGCUGGUAAGCAGCCAGAUCUUGAAACGCAUGUAGGAGUCUGUUUGGGCAGCGCUUAUAUCUGAUGAACUCUAUGAGGACCUCAAAGUACAGUGCAAUGAGAACUAUGUGAAUAUAGAUCCAACCAAUACAAAAUGUGUAGCUGCUUAUGAACUUUACAAAAAAGAAAGAUGAUUAGUAGUCCAGUUCCUAUUUAAAAACAAAUAAUUUUCUUCAAGCUGCCCAGAAAUGACUGAUUAAUUUUAUUUUU
Long non-coding RNA from Pistacia vera, 585 nucleotides. RefSeq lists it as uncharacterized. The record is from RefSeq and is a predicted model, not a curated record. The transcript is spliced from 4 exons. NCBI's taxonomy places the organism in Eukaryota, Viridiplantae, Streptophyta, Magnoliopsida, Sapindales, Anacardiaceae.